RNAcentral lists this unclassified non-coding RNA (381 nucleotides) under uncultured Oligoflexales bacterium. Its description in RNAcentral is "contains 16S-23S intergenic spacer region". The record is from RNAcentral. Lineage: Bacteria; Pseudomonadati; Bdellovibrionota; Oligoflexia; Oligoflexales.
UCCGAGUUGACCCCGGCAGUCUCCUGCGAGUCCCCGCCAUUACGCGCUGGCAACACAGGACAAGGGUUGCGCUCGUUGCGGGACUUAACCCAACAUGUCACCACACGAGCUGACGACAGCCAUGCAGCACCUGUCUCCCGGCAGUAUUGCUACUGAAACCGUAUUUCUACGGCGGUCCGGGGAUGUCAAACCCAGGUAAGGUUUUGCGCGUUGCUUCGAAUUAAACCACAUGAUCCACCGCUUGUGCGGGCCCCCGUCAAUUCCUUUGAGUUUUAGUCUUGCGACCGUACUUCCCAGGCGGGGUACUUAUUGCGUUAGCUCCGGCUCUGCAGGGGUCUAUUCCCACAAAGCCUAGUACCCAUCGUUUACAGCGUGGACUAC